CGUAACAUGUAGGGGAACCAGUGUGACUGGUUGAGACGUCCUGUAGACAGACGGACCCUUAGAACCUGAUCUGGUUGAGACCAGCGUAGGAAACAUAUCUAACGUUUUU
This 109-nucleotide non-coding RNA is filed under the name Pontibacillus chungwhensis. Its description in RNAcentral is "TPP sequence". It matches the Rfam family "TPP riboswitch aptamer (THI element)". Rfam says of the family: Vitamin B(1) in its active form thiamin pyrophosphate (TPP) is an essential coenzyme that is synthesised by coupling of pyrimidine and thiazole moieties in bacteria. The record is from RNAcentral. Lineage: Bacteria; Bacillati; Bacillota; Bacilli; Caryophanales; Bacillaceae. RNAcentral also lists the same sequence under 1 other name.